This 73-nucleotide transfer RNA is filed under the name Schistocerca americana (American grasshopper). RNAcentral describes it as "tRNA-Pro". It matches the Rfam family "tRNA". From Rfam's summary of the family: Transfer RNA (tRNA) molecules are approximately 80 nucleotides in length. Their secondary structure includes four short double-helical elements and three loops (D, anti-codon, and T loops). Further hydrogen bonds mediate the characteristic L-shaped molecular structure. tRNAs have two regions of fundamental functional importance: the anti-codon, which is responsible for specific mRNA codon recognition, and the 3' end, to which the tRNAs corresponding amino acid is attached (by aminoacyl-tRNA synthetases). tRNAs cope with the degeneracy of the genetic code in two manners: having more than one tRNA (with a specific anti-codon) for a particular amino acid; and 'wobble' base-pairing, i.e. permitting non-standard base-pairing at the 3rd anti-codon position. The record is from RNAcentral. Lineage: Eukaryota; Metazoa; Arthropoda; Insecta; Orthoptera; Acrididae.
GGCGCGUUGGUCUAGGGGUAUGAUUCCUGCUUCGGGUGCAGGAGGUCCCGGGUUCAAAUCCCGGACGAGCACU